UCGACUGUUUUACAAAAACAUUUCUUUUUUAUUUAUUUGUAAAGUAAAGCCUGCCCACUGAGUGAUUGAAGGGCCGCGGUAUUUUGACCGUGCUAAGGUAGCGUAAUCAUUAGCCUUUUAAUUAGAGGAUAGUAUGAAUGGUUCAACCCACAAUUUUUUUUUAAGUAAGUAAAAUUGAAUUUUAAGUUAAAGUGAAAAUUCUUUACGGGCAAAAAAAGACGAUAAGACCCUAUAGAGCUUAAUAACAAAAACUUGUUUUUGUUUUGGGGGUGAAACAAAAACAAGUUUUUGUUAUUUGAUUGGGGCAAUUCAAGAAUAAAAAAAACUUCUUGUGUUUAAAUUAAACAUCUCGUUUAUUUGAAAUAUUAAAAAGUUACCUUAGGGAUAACAGCGUAAUUGUUUUUGAGAGCUCUUAUCGACAUAACAGUUUGCGACCUCGAUGUUGAAUUAAAAGUUUUUUAAGAAGCAGUAUUUUUAAAAAAUAGUCUGUUCGCCUAUUAAAAUUUUACAUGAUUUGAGUUCAGACCGGA
This 530-nucleotide ribosomal RNA is filed under the name Zhuqinia jingwanae. RNAcentral describes it as "partial 16S ribosomal RNA". It matches the Rfam family "Bacterial large subunit ribosomal RNA", at positions 1796 to 2620 of the family's 2925-position model. Lineage: Eukaryota; Metazoa; Arthropoda; Collembola; Entomobryomorpha; Paronellidae. The record is from RNAcentral.